AAGGACGAGUGUUUGCUUUCAUUGAGUCCCUACUGUUAACACCAGGUGUAAAGAGGUGAAUUUAGGUCCGUUACUCAAAUCUGCAAUUUAUGAUCUUACAGUUGCUUCACGGCUCCCACCGGGGCCCACGUGCCCCUGGGACGGAUGACGACAAGGCACUCGUGUGCCUCCUCCCAGAGGCCCCCUUGGGGCUUGAAGCGCAGGGUUUCAAGUCCCCCUCGGACGCUGGUGCGUGCUCUCUGCCCUCAGGGGACCCCACCGCACACUGCACCCAACACUUUUUUCGGUCUUUUAUAAGUCAUACCCAAGGCACACGGGAGCUCCCACAGCUGCCGCAACGCAGGAUCCGAGCCGCGCCUGCGACCUACACCACAGCUCGGGGAAAUGCUGGAUCCUUAACCCAUUGAGGGAGGCCAGGGAUCGAACCCGCAUCCUCAUGGGUGCUAGCUGGGUUUGUUAACUGCUGAGCCACAACGGCAACUCCCCCACCGCACACUCUGAGAAGCACUGGCUGGGAAAGGGUGGGAGGGAGGUGUGGGUUUCAGGAUCUGAGCCUCCUUGGAGCUCUGCCUGCUGGGCUGAGUCUGAGGUCCCCUCCGCUUCUGCAAUCUGCCUCCUGUGUCAGCCUCUCCCCCUUAUGCUGCUCUGAACAGGGUCACCAGCUUUGUCCUCACCACCCACAGGAAGCCUUGGAACAGCAGGCUGGUGGAGGCGUGCCAGCUCCACCUACAGGCCGCCUCUGGACAGGACCAGCUUGUUCCCCCAGCGUAGGAAUUUGAGGUGCACAGAAGAUGCGGGUUCUGGGGAGCAGCAAAAGCCUGCCUCUUUGUGACAACAUGCAUGCCUCCACCUAGGCAUCAGGGCAGGAAGCCACUUGGUGUAGCGAGAAGGCUGUUUGUUCCACUGCUUUGUGGCUGCAGCUUCCCGUGAGAUCUCAUUGCCCAGACCAGGGAUUGAAUCCAGGCUGCAGUGGUGAAGGCACCAAAUCCUAACCAUUAGACCACCAGGGAGCUCCCUGUUCACUCCUGGGGGAAACCCAGGGCAGCAGAGGGGAAGGGCUCUCCCAGCUGGCACACCAGGUUCUCUGCAGACCCCAGGGGCCAGUUCUCUCGGGCCUCACCUCUGAACAAGAGCUCAGACUCCCGGGGUCCAAGUCCCGGCCCCAGCACUGGCUGGGUGACUCUUGGCCCAUUACGGCUUCUCGCAGUCUCAGUCUCUGCCUCUGUAAAAGGUACCCCAUUCUGUUCUCAGGAUGCUCAGCCCCAUGGGGAAAGAGGGUGAAGAGUGCCACGUGUCGUGGCUGUUAAGGGAGUGCCGUUCCUUGUAUGGGUCUGUGGUUCUCAAAGCGUAGAUGCUGGGACUUGUGAGAAAUACGUUCUGAGGCCCCUCCCAGACCAAAGGAAGCAGACAUGCCAGGCCCCACUGGUUCCUGCUAACACCCCUCCAGGAGUCUGAUGCAGGCUCGACACUGAAAUCAGGGGGCUCAGACGAGUAAUUUCCGAGAUUAGGUCUUUCUGAACCACAGUGCUGGCUGACUCUCAGAGACGCCAUUUAAGUGGAGUCAUUUGUCAGACACCAACCACGGGCCAGACCUGACACUGACGACACCAACCACGGGCCAGACCUGACACUGACGCUGGAGACAGAAACAAACAGGGGUGGUCUGAGCGCAAGGCGGCCGACCGAGACCAGGACCGGGGCUGCCACUUCUCCUCAGGCAGAUCCCCACUCCCCUGAAAAGCACCAGAUUUCAAACAGGACUCACUUCCACCCCUAAGCUUACAGCUUCAGAAGCUGUUUUUUAUUUUUUGGCAGCACCUGCGGCAUACGGAAGUUCCCAGGCCAAGGAUCGAACCCGUGCCACAGCAGGGACCCACACUGCUGCAGUGACAAUGCCAGAUCCUUCACUCCCUGUGCCACAGAACUCCCUAGAACCUUUUUCUUUUGGGCGGGGGGGGGGGGGGGGUCUCUUUAGGGCUGCACCUGUGGCAUAUGCAAGUUGCCAAGCUAGGAGUCAAAAUGAAUUGGAGCCAUAGCUGCCAUCCUACACCACAGCUCACAGCAACACUGGAUCCUUAACCCACUGAGCAGGGCCAAGGAUCGAACCCACAUCCUCAUAGAUACUAGUCAGGUUCGUUUCUGCUGAGCCACCAGGGGAACUCCAGAACCUAUUUUUUAUUUUUGUCUUUUUAGGGCCACACCUGUGGCAUAUGGACGUUCCCAGGCUAGGAGCUGAAUCAGAGCUGCAGCCACCGGCCUAACGCCACAGCAACGCCAGAUCCAAGCUGCAUCUGUGACCUACGUCACAAUUCAGGGCAAUGCCAGAUCCUUAACCCACUGAGCGAGGCCAGGGAAGGAACCUGUGUCCUCAUGGAUACCAGUCAGAUUGUUCCCGCUGAGCCACAACAGGAACUCCCAGGACCUAUUUUUCAAAUGCAGCUUCGGGGUUUUGGUAAUUGCCUUCGAUGGCGAACUUCAUGCAGCAUUCACCUGACAUGUGCCAAACUAGAAGAAACACCAAGCGACCUGCUUAUGAUGCACCUGCCUUCCAAGUGACUUCCAGAUAAAAUCUCCUCCUGGAACUUAUAAUCCCCCACCAUGUGAUCCAAUACUGCCUGAUUUCUGAAGCAUUUCACAGUUUAAAUAAUGCCUUCCCAGGACUUCUCUUUUUUUCGUCUUUUCUAGGGCUGCGCCCGUGGCAUAUGGAGGUUCCCAGUCUAGGGGUUGAAUCAGAGCUGUAGCCACUGGCCUACACCACAGCCACAGCAAUGUCGGAUCCAAGCUGUGUCUGGGACCUACACCACGUCUCAUGGCAACGCCAGAUCCUCAACCACUGGGCAAGGCCAGGGAUCGAACCCCCAACCUCAUGGUUCCCAGUCGGAUUUGUUUCCACUGCGCCAGGACGGGACCUCCCCAGGACUCCUCUUGCUGAGCUUCCCAGGGACGCAGUUACAAUGGGUAUGUCAUUACCUCCCUUUUGCAGAUGCGGAAGUGGGCUCGAGGAGGUCACAGGAGCAGCAGCAGAGUCACGUGCAGAACAGAUGUUUAUUGCCCACCAGAGCGAGUGCCUAGAUCCGCCCCCACGCCUGCGCCCAUGGCGCUCUCCCCCCUCCGCCCCCGGCUUUCUCAGCGGGACUCUGGCCGGCGGGAGGGUCACGGCGCAGGCAGUGUGGAUCUCACGGGUAGGUUUAUUCUGCAGGGCAGCAGCACUGCUACCAGUGGACGUGACGUGCCACGCACAAUCCCACGGUGCGGCCAGGCCGACGUCCCAUCCGAGCGGAGGUGGUUAGUGGUGGCCAUGAGCAGGAGCAGGACUGGAAGCUUUCUCUGUGUUCGUAUUAACAGUCAGAAAGCACGGAGCACAGCUUUCCAGACAGGGAGGCGGGCGGAGGGUCUGUGGAUCGUGCGCACGCAGCCCGCCUGCAGGCGCGAAGACGGGGGCGGGAAGGCCUGCUCCCCGGAGCGCAAGGGCAGCCCUGGGUGCGUGAAGGACUCAAACGACUAGAGCGUCUCAUUUGGAGGCAAAGUGAGAAAAGUCCAGGGCGAGGGCACAUGUCUAUGUGCUGCCUUCUUGGGAAACACAACAGGGCGGCCGGCGUGCACAGCUAACUGCUGGCGUCAGCAGGCUCCGAGCAAGUCGUGUUUCUACCACCCCUGGAAGCUGCACUUGGCCCAUGGGCAUGAGCAAUGGUUUUUAACACUCAGACGAUGGGAGCAGAACUUUUGAAUUCUCCGUUCCAGCAGGCAGAGCACACUCCACGUGCCCACUGCCUCUGGUCGCUCGGCGAGCCAGGUGCCUGCUUCCGCUCCCACCAGCGACGACCUUGUCCUGAGAAGGACGGACGGUCUUUUUCACUGCACGCUUUUUUUGGGGGGGCUACACCUGUGGCAUAUGGAAGUUCCCAGACGAGGGAUCAAAUCUAAACUGCAGCUGUGACCUACGCCACAGCCGUGACAAUGCCAGAUCCUUAACCCACUGUGCCACAGCAGGAACUCCCACUCCCCACCCCCUUUAAGCAGCAAAAACCUUACCUUUCAAGGCUUUACUUCUUUUAUCUAAAAUAAAGGGAAAGAAACUCUGGUCAAUUCAAUGCUUUCAAAAGCGUUUCUAGUCAAUUCAUCACCGAGAACAACACGUGGCUGAAGAGUUCAUCGCUUAGGUCAAGCGUCAUAGGAAGCUUUCAGAAAACCGGAGUCACUGCCGGGUCGCACAGCCAACGAGUGGUCAGACUUCCACCGCAGGUGGGCUCGGAAGAGCCAAACGCCCUUUGGAAUCCACACGGCCCUUCAUUCCCCCCCACGUGCCCAACCUCAGGCUUGCAGUUUAAAGUUUUCUCCUUUCGCUUCUCUGUUCAAUCAAUCACAUUUCCUCCCUCCCUUCUUUUGCUUUUUAGGGCCACACCUGCAGCGUGUGGAGAUUCCCAGGCAUCGGAGCAACAUACGCCACAGCCACAGUGACGUGGGACCCAGGCUGCGUCUGCAACCCUACACCACAGCUCAUAGAAACGCCGGAUCCUUAACGUACUGCACCGGCAGCACAUGGAAGUUCCCGGGCUAGGGGUCGAGUGGGAGUGGGAGCUGCAGCCUAAGCCACCACCAUGGCAACACCGGAUCCAGGCCGCAUCUACGACAUACACUGCAGCUUGAAGCGAUGCUGGAUCCUUAACCCACUGGGUGAGGCCGAGGAUUGAACCUGCAUCCUCAUAAAGACAAUGAUGGGUUCUUAACCCACGAAGCCACUUGGCCAUGCCCACACCAUGCUGAGGUUCCUGGGCCAGGGACUGAACCCAUGCCACAUCCUUAAUCUGCUGAUCCACCAGGGAACUCCUUAACCAAUCACAGUAAUCCAUGACUGGGCCUCGUCUCUGCUCCACUGGGAACCACUGGUUACCCCAACCAAACUUUUACCAUCAGAGUAUUUCAAACAUUCACAUCCGUGGAGAAAGUCUAACAAGACACUGGGGACCAGGCGUGGCAUCCGUAAGUGUUUCAGCCUGCGUCUCUUAAAGCUGAGGGCCUCUCCUGUGCAUUCUAAACACCACCGUCCCCCUAAGAAAACUCACAAUUCCCUGACAGCAAGGUCUUCGCAGCUGCCCCUUGGUGCUGACACGGCUCUCACGCUUACAAGGAUCACGGGGUCUGGUGUUCACUCCCGGGUAAGAACCCAGUUCCUUCACAGUAUGAAUACCAUUUGUGAUUCGCUUUGGUUUGGUUUCUUUUCUUUUCUUUCUUUGUCUUUUUUGGCAUUUCUUGGGCCGCU
This 5260-nucleotide long non-coding RNA is filed under the name Sus scrofa (pig). RNAcentral's name for it is "lncRNA (ENSSSCG00045013277.1)". The record is from RNAcentral. Lineage: Eukaryota; Metazoa; Chordata; Mammalia; Artiodactyla; Suidae.